Long non-coding RNA from Phacochoerus africanus (Common warthog), 1861 nucleotides. RefSeq lists it as uncharacterized. The transcript is spliced from 6 exons. NCBI's taxonomy places the organism in Eukaryota, Metazoa, Chordata, Mammalia, Artiodactyla, Suidae. The record is from RefSeq and is a predicted model, not a curated record.
GCAGCCUGCGGCGCGUCCGGUCGGGCAGGGGGCUUCCGCCCGGCUCCGGGGAACGCCCCCUCCAAGUCAGCUGACUGGGGCUCGGGCGAGAGGUGGCGCUGCGGGACAGGUGCAGGCUGCAGGCCCACGUUUAAAAACGCUGCGACUCCCAGGAUGGGUCGGCCAAGUGCUGUGGAUGAGCGCUUCUCACCGCAGUGGGGAACAACAUGCCGUGAAGGACAAAAAACGUGAAGGGCCCAUCGGUCUUAGUGGCGCCGACCUGCGUCAUGGAACAUUGAGACAGAGGAGGGGAUGGCAGCCGCACGACGGAAGUGGCUCUGAGCACGGGAGCUGGAGCUCUUCGUCGGGACCAGAGCAAACUGAAAGCCAGGUGCCUGUCUGCACCAGGCUCCGCGGCAGCCUGCCCCUCAGGAGUCGCCAUUCCUCAUGCCCACGAGAGGGGAGAGUCACUGGGUGAUGCAGUCACAAUAGCGGUGUCUUUAGGAGCCUGCUGACUGUGCUCCUGUGCGACCCGGGAAUGUUGGUUCCUUUGACCAGCCGUGAAAGUCGAGCGGUUUUCCAAAUUCUCCGAACGCGUUUCCACGGGUUGCCUUGAAGAUCAAGUGAGAAAGUAUAAAAUGACACGCUUUGUCAUUGCAAAUGUACAUUACGGAUGGCGCAACUAAAUGAAAACAUCACGUGAUAAAAUACCUAAGAAGGAAGAUCAUUAGCUCCUACCCAUUUAGAGAAAAAUGAAGUUUGGACAACACAAAUGUUUAGAAGAGAAAAGCAAGGAACUGGUCCACGUAUUUACGACCGUUGCUCUUGCAUGGAGACAGUCGCCCUCCGACAUGGAAACUAAUGUUCGACACACUCCUGGGGAAGUUUUUUGGAAGAAAUGCCUUGUAUUUGCAGCAGUACUUCAAAAAGAAUAAGAAAAAUAGACGCUAGUUUUGUUAAAAUGUGCAGUGUUCAUAGUAAAUGAUUUUGUUAAGACGGGAAGUUUCGUAAAGAGACACGGUGCCUUAGGUCCUUUGCGUUACUGGUGCAAAGAGACGUUCAAUAAAACGAUAUACAAUAAAAUCAAAGCUCAGUAAACAGUGGAAACUCUGUAGAAGAUGCGUGUGAGGAAUGAAGGGAGCGUUUCUGGGUCAAGAGCGAGGGAGGAAGGGAGCGGUGACCCGAAGCCCACCAGCUGGGUCUCCCGACUGAUGCAGGAACGCGCGAAGUGGGGUCCGGUUCCUGGUCACAGGCCCCGGCUCCGAAAGACGCCCCUUGGUGUGAGGCUCUGCUCCCGCCACCUUAAAAUUCUUGCGGAUGUGACUUCGAAGCUGUGUUCUGGAAGCGAGGUCUCAUGGGCCGAGCAGUUACCCGGGAGGCUGGGCCACCUGCGUCCCCCCGCUGCCCCACUCCCGUGCUGUGCCCGUGGGACUAUUCCGGUGGGAAUUCCGGGCCGUGCGGGAGCUCAGCCGGGCUGCCGGCCAGCACCAGGGGGGCUGGACGCAUUGAAGACCGAGCAAGGCCCGGGUGCAGGGCCGCUGCCGGCAGGCCUGGGAGGCCACACGUUUGGUCCGAACCAGAACUUGCUGUGAGAGCAGGAAAAAGCCUGGAGAUGCGCUGCUGCCCAGGACCAGCCGGCCACGCGGGCCGGCCAGAACGACGGGGAAGGGAAGGGGCACAGAGGCCGAAGCACCGGUUCUUUCCCUUCAGGGCUUCCCUGCGUAGCAGGAGGCCGAAAGUGGAGCCUUCAGGUAGAAUGCGUGUCUAUUCAGGAAAGGAAACAGAAAGAGUUGAGUUAGUUUGGUGCGGAUUGCCGCUCUUCUGGUAAGAACAAAAUACAGGAGUUCCCAUCGUGGCUCAGUGGAAACAAAUCUGACUAGCA